UGCGUAGGCGGAUUAAUAAGUCAGUGGUGAAAACCUGCAGCUUAACUGCAGACCUGCCAUUGAUACUGUUAGUCUUGAGUACGGUCAAGGUAGGCGGAAUGUGUAAUAUAGCGGUGAAAUGCUUAGAUAUUACACAGAACACCGAUUGCGAAGGCAGCUUACUGGGCCAUUACUGACGCUGAGGCACGAAAGCGUGGGGAGCGAACAGGAUUAGAUACCCUGGUAGUCC
RNAcentral lists this ribosomal RNA (229 nucleotides) under uncultured bacterium. RNAcentral's name for it is "partial 16S ribosomal RNA". It matches the Rfam family "Bacterial small subunit ribosomal RNA", at positions 568 to 796 of the family's 1533-position model. The record is from RNAcentral.